Molecule: small RNA, 419 nt
Filed under: Arabidopsis thaliana (thale cress)
Lineage: Eukaryota; Viridiplantae; Streptophyta; Magnoliopsida; Brassicales; Brassicaceae
Description: ATSL016720
Source: RNAcentral
AAUUUGUAUAUAAUUGUUUUGGUAAAAACAUGUUUCCUUUGUAUUACAAGAUCUAAUUUUUGGCCUAACUUAGAAUUAGUCUUUGUAUAGUAUUUUGGUUACAUUUGUAGACUUAAUUGGGACCUAUAUUAGAUUAUCUUUGAUAGGGCUGACGAAAAAACGGACCCAAUAACCAACCUAAUACCCGAACCAAAAAACUGGGUUAGGGCGGGUUAAAAUUUUAGGAAAUUUCCUUAUUGGGUAGAGUUUUAGUAAACCCGUGGAUAUCCGAUUGGUCCGGAAAUUAUCCGUUACCCAAAAAGAGUAUUCAAAAACCCAAACAUUAAUUUAAUAUCCAAAAUAUUAAUUAUAUUUAAUCGUAAUAUUAUCUAAUUAUCUAAUAUUAUAAUUAUAAAUCUAAAUAUGUCAAUUAAUUUUGG